AUUGAACGCUGGCGGCAGGCCUAACACAUGCAAGUCGAACGGUAACAGGAAGAAGCUUGCUUCUUUGCUGACGAGUGGCGGACGGGUGAGUAAUGUCUGGGAAACUGCCUGAUGGAGGGGGAUAACUACUGGAAACGGUAGCUAAUACCGCAUAACGUCGCAAGACCAAAGAGGGGGACCUUCGGGCCUCUUGCCAUCGGAUGUGCCCAGAUGGGAUUAGCUAGUAGGUGGGGUAACGGCUCACCUAGGCGACGAUCCGUAGCUGGUCUGAGAGGAUGACCAGCCACACUGGAACUGAGACACGGUCCAGACUCCUACGGGAGGCAGCAGUGGGGAAUAUUGCACAAUGGGCGCAAGCCUGGUGCAGCCAUGCCGCGUGUAUGAAGAAGGCCUUCGGGUUGUAAAGUACUUUCAGCGGGGAGGAAGGGAGUAAAGUUAAUACCUUUGCUCAUUGACGUUACCCGCAGAAGAAGCACCGGCUAACUCCGUG
Molecule: ribosomal RNA, 490 nt
Filed under: uncultured bacterium
Lineage: Bacteria
Description: partial 16S ribosomal RNA
Rfam family: Bacterial small subunit ribosomal RNA
Source: RNAcentral